CAGUUCGGACUGUAGGCUGCAACUCGCCUACACGAAGUUGGAAUUGCUAGUAAUCGUGGAUCAGCAUGCCACGGUGAAUACGUUCCCGGUCUUGUACACACCGCCCGUCACACCAUGGGAGCUGGUAACACCCGAAGUCAGUAGUCUAACCGCAAGGAGGACGCUGCCGAAGGUGGGAUUAGCGACUGGGGUGAAGUCGUAACAAGGUAAC
This 211-nucleotide ribosomal RNA is filed under the name uncultured bacterium. RNAcentral describes it as "partial 16S ribosomal RNA". It matches the Rfam family "Bacterial small subunit ribosomal RNA", at positions 1289 to 1500 of the family's 1533-position model. The record is from RNAcentral.